GACGAACGCUGGCGGCGUGCUUCACACAUGCAAGUCGAGCGAGGCCCUCUCUUCGGAGAGGUGCCCUAGCGGCGAACGGGUGAGUAACACGUGGGCAACCUGCCCUCAGCUCUGGGAUAAGCCCGGGAAACCGGGUCUAAUACCGGAUAUGACUCCUACAGGCAUCUGCCGGGAGUGGAAAGAUUCAUCGGCUGAGGAUGGGCCCGCGGCCUAUCAGCUUGUUGGUGGGGUAACGGCCCACCAAGGCGACGACGGGUAGCCGGCCUGAGAGGGCGACCGGCCACACUGGGACUGAGACACGGCCCAGACUCCUACGGGAGGCAGCAGUGGGGAAUCUUGCACAAUGGGCGAAAGCCUGAUGCAGCGACGCCGCGUGAGGGAUGACGGCCUUCGGGUUGUAAACCUCUUUCAGCAGGGACGAAGCGAAAGUGACGGUACCUGCAGAAGAAGGACCGGCCAACUACGUGCCAGCCGCCGCCGUAACAC
Molecule: ribosomal RNA, 486 nt
Filed under: uncultured bacterium
Lineage: Bacteria
Description: bacterial SSU rRNA
Rfam family: Bacterial small subunit ribosomal RNA
Source: RNAcentral